GGGACUCCUCGUACUUAGGGUGAUCAGCCUUUCGUACAAUGUAUUGUGCACAAAUAUUUCAACGCUAAGCGUAAGUUACCCCUAAUAAUAGGGUUGUUCAUCUCAGUAUUUAGAGUACAAGUUCGCACCAAAGUGAUUUUGGUUUGAAUACAUAUCAGGGUAAUUUGGAAUUCAAUGAACAUCAACUAAGGAUUAGUUGAAUGAAACCAAUAACAUCAUACUAUAGAAUAAUCGUAACUGAAUCAACAUGGUAAAUUAAAGUCAUGCUUUAGGAAUAAUCUAAUAGCAUACAACUUGAAUAACUAUAAUACACCUUGCN
Molecule: long non-coding RNA, 319 nt
Filed under: Panax ginseng (ginseng)
Lineage: Eukaryota; Viridiplantae; Streptophyta; Magnoliopsida; Apiales; Araliaceae
Description: long non-coding RNA (PGIN_LNC013176)
Source: RNAcentral